GACAACUCUAGAGAUAGAGCCUUCCCCUUCGGGGGACAAAGUGACAGGUGGUGCAUGGUUGUCGUCAGCUCGUGUCGUGAGAUGUUGGGUUAAGUCCCGCAACGAGCGCAACCCUUAAGCUUAGUUGCCAUCAUUAAGUUGGGCACUCUAAGUUGACUGCCGGUGACAAACCGGAGGAAGGUGGGGAUGACGUCAAAUCAUCAUGCCCCUUAUGAUUUGGGCUACACACGUGCUACAAUGGACAAUACAAAGGGCAGCGAAACCGCGAGGUCAAGCAAAUCCCAUAAAGUUGUUCUCAGUUCGGAUUGUAGUCUGCAACUCGACUACAUGAAGCUGGAAUCGCUAGUAAUCGUAGAUCAGCAUGCUACGGUGAAUACGUUCCCGGGUCUUGUACACACCGCCCGUCACACCACGAGAGUUUGUAACACCCGAAGCCGGUGGAGUAACCUUUUAGGAGCUAGCCGUCGAAGGUGGGACAAAUGAUUGGGGUGAAGUCGUAACAAGGUAGCCGUAUCGGAAGGUGCGGCUGGAUCACCUCCUUUCUAAGGA
RNAcentral lists this ribosomal RNA (549 nucleotides) under Staphylococcus aureus. Its description in RNAcentral is "bacterial SSU rRNA". It matches the Rfam family "Bacterial small subunit ribosomal RNA", at positions 993 to 1533 of the family's 1533-position model. Lineage: Bacteria; Bacillati; Bacillota; Bacilli; Caryophanales; Staphylococcaceae. The record is from RNAcentral.